Molecule: transfer RNA, 73 nt
Organism: Culex pipiens (northern house mosquito)
Lineage: Eukaryota; Metazoa; Arthropoda; Insecta; Diptera; Culicidae
Rfam family: tRNA
About the family: Transfer RNA (tRNA) molecules are approximately 80 nucleotides in length. Their secondary structure includes four short double-helical elements and three loops (D, anti-codon, and T loops).
Source: Rfam
GCGGCCGUGGCUGACUAGUUAAGCUGUUCGCUUUGUAAGCGAAUGGUUAGGGGUUCGAUGCCCUUCUGCUCCC